UACGUAGGGACCGAGCGUUGUCCGGAUUCAUUGGGCGUAAAGAGCUCGUAGGCGGCUGCUCAAGUCGAAUGUGAAAACUCGAGGCUCAACCUCGAGCCUGCAUUCGAUACUGGGCGGCUAGAGUCUGGUAGGGGGAUCUGGAAUUCCUGGUGUAGCGGUGGAAUGCGCAGAUAUCAGGAGGAACACCAAUGGCGAAGGCAGCUCGCUGGGACGUGACUGACGCUGAGACGCGAAAGCGUGGGGAGCAAACAGG
RNAcentral lists this ribosomal RNA (253 nucleotides) under uncultured bacterium. Its description in RNAcentral is "partial 16S ribosomal RNA". It matches the Rfam family "Bacterial small subunit ribosomal RNA", at positions 524 to 776 of the family's 1533-position model. The record is from RNAcentral.